This 723-nucleotide long non-coding RNA is filed under the name Ficedula albicollis (Collared flycatcher). RNAcentral's name for it is "lncRNA (ENSFALG00000027513.1)". Lineage: Eukaryota; Metazoa; Chordata; Aves; Passeriformes; Muscicapidae. The record is from RNAcentral.
CCCCCCCCCCCCCCCCCCCCCCCCCCCCCCCCCCCCCCCCCCCCCCCCCCCCCCCCCCCCCCCCCCCCCCCCCCCCCCCCCCCCCCCCCCCCCCCCCCCCCCCCCCCCCCCCGCCCCUGUGUGAGGGACAUCCCUCCGUGUGAGGGGGGAUCCCACACAACCCUCCGUGUGAGAGUCACAAUCAGAUGCAGCAGGUGACACUGUGACCAGCCAUGGCAGCAUGACAGAUGGAGGGACUGUCACACAUAAUGAUGUUGAUAUAAAUGCAACUGAAGACAAGGUUACAGACAUGGUACAGACCCCAGUCCAGCAGCUGGAAGAAGAAUAAUUCACUUGAAGUUUGCUUGGAAGAAGUCUCCAGCUGCAAGGUGGCUGCUACCCAGUCACAUGAGGUCCUAAGGUGCUGCAGACGGGCAGUGAAGCCCAUGGUGGAGAAGGACCAACAAAUGAUGUCCAUGUGUAGUGACUGUAUUCUACUUGAUGUCUCUUUCCCCUCUCUCCGCCCUUUCUUUCCCACCCCUCUUUUCUGUUUCUUUACCUCACAAUUAUUGUUAAAUAAAACCUGCAUUAAUUACUUUCAAAUAUUGUCUUGUUUGCAGCUUAAUUUGGGCAGAAGCACCUGGCACUUAUCAGAUCUUAACAAAGCUCAUUGCUGAACAGUGGCUCCAAGGAGGUUUGUGACCCUCUGCUCCAUUGUUCCAUCUUGGCUGCUGAGGGAGAGGA